RNAcentral lists this ribosomal RNA (102 nucleotides) under Clostridioides difficile. Lineage: Bacteria; Bacillati; Bacillota; Clostridia; Peptostreptococcales; Peptostreptococcaceae. The record is from RNAcentral.
ACAAUAGCAGAGAGGAUACACCUGUUCCCAUUCCGAACACAGAAGUUAAGCUCUCUAGCGCUGAUGGUACUUGGUGGGAAACUGCCUGGGAGAGUAGGACGU